Molecule: ribosomal RNA, 196 nt
Filed under: uncultured bacterium
Lineage: Bacteria
Description: partial 16S ribosomal RNA
Rfam family: Bacterial small subunit ribosomal RNA
Source: RNAcentral
AGAGUUUGAUCCUGGCUCAGAACGAACGCUGGCGGCAGGCUUAACACAUGCAAGUCGAACGCAUCGCAAGAUGAGUGGCAGACGGGUGAGUAACGCGUGGGAACAUACCCUUUCCUGCGGAAUAGCUCCGGGAAACUGGAAUUAAUACCGCAUACGCCCUACGGGGGAAAGAUUUAUCGGGGAAGGAUUGGCCCGC